Long non-coding RNA from Zophobas morio, 859 nucleotides. RefSeq lists it as uncharacterized. The record is from RefSeq and is a predicted model, not a curated record. Lineage: Eukaryota; Metazoa; Arthropoda; Insecta; Coleoptera; Tenebrionidae. The transcript is spliced from 3 exons.
ACCGAGUUAAGAUUAAACUUUAGAUUUCCACUGCAGUCUUUUAUAAAUACUACCAUACAACUAUCAAACGUCAAUUAUUACCUGCACCGCACCUAACAAACAAAAUGCAGUCCAAAACCCUCGUGUUUCUCCUGUGUGUAGUGGUUCUAGCAGAAGGACUAACCAUCCACAAAAGGCCAGCACACACAAAACUCAGCAAAGAAUCUUUAGAAAAAAUCACCGAGCUUGUCAAAAGCGACGAUUGUCCACAAUGGGUCCCGGUUGAUGGAGGAUGGAUCGACUGGUGCGACCCAGCGUACCAUCCCGGCAGAUAGUGUUAAGAGUGGGACAGUUCACCACGAAACAAAAAAUUACACGUAUUAUUGUCUCAAAUAAACUAAUUUUAAUCACGUCUGUGAAUAAAUAAACCAAAAAUUAAUAAACAAAAAUAUCUAACUGACCAUUGAAGUAUAGAUUAUCUUAAUCCUAAUCUCAACCGAGUUAAGAUUAAACCUCAGAUUUCCACUGCAUUCUUUUAUAAAUACUACCAUACAACUAUCAACCGUCAAUCACCUGCAACCUAUCAAACAAAAUGAAAGCCAAAACUUUUGUGUUUCUCGUCUGUGUAGUGGUUCUAGCAGAAGGACUAAGCAUCGACAAAAGAUCCCCAUGCCCUCCUACCCGAAAGUUGGGCAAAGAAUCUUUAGGAAAAAUCAUCGACUUUGUCAAAAGCGUGGAAGUCAAUAGCGACGAGUGUCCACAAUGGGUUCCGUUUGGAGAUGAUUGCAUCGACUGGUGUGACCCAGCGUACCAUCCCGACAUGAAAUAGAGUGUCGAGUGUGAAUACUGAACCACCAAAUAAUAAAUUUUGACUUAAAAA